This 303-nucleotide ribosomal RNA is filed under the name uncultured bacterium. RNAcentral describes it as "partial 16S ribosomal RNA". It matches the Rfam family "Bacterial small subunit ribosomal RNA", at positions 507 to 808 of the family's 1533-position model. The record is from RNAcentral.
AGCAGUCGCCGCGGUAAUACAGAGGGUGCGAGCGUUAAUCGGAUUUACUGGGCGUAAGCGUGCGUAGGCGGCUUCUUAAGUCGGAUGUGAAAUCCCUGAGCUUAACUUAGGAAUUGCAUUCGAUACUGGGAAGCUAGAGUAUGGGAGAGGAUGGUAGAAUUCCAGGUGUAGCGGUGAAAUGCGUAGAGAUCUGGAGGAAUACCGAUGGCGAAGGCAGCCAUCUGGCCUAAUACUGACGCUGAGGUACGAAAGCAUGGGGAGCAAACAGGAUUAGAUACCCCCGUAGUCCCUGUCUCUUAUACA